GACGAACGCUGGCGGCGCGCUUAACACAUGCAAGUCGAACGCUGAAGCUCAGCUUUUGUUGGGUGGAUGAGUGGCGAACGGGUGAGUAACACGUGAGUAACCUGCCUCCUUCUUUGGGAUAACGCCCGGAAACGGGUGCUAAUACUGGAUAUUCACUGGUCUUCGCAUGGGGGUUGGUGGAAAGGGUUUUUCUGGUGGGGGAUGGGCUCGCGGCCUAUCAGCUUGUUGGUGGGGUGAUGGCCUACCAAGGCUUUGACGGGUAGCCGGCCUGAGAGGGUGACCGGGCACAUUGGGACUGAGAUACGGCCCAGACUCCUGCGGGAGGCAGCAGUGGGGAAUAUUGCACAAUGGGCGCAAGCCUGAUGCAGCGACGCCGCGUGAGGGAUGGAGGCCUUCGGGUUGUGAACCUCUUUCGCUAAUGGUCAAGCCGCAACAAUGGUUGUGGUGAGGGUAGUGGGUAAAGAAGCGCCGGCUAACUACGUG
RNAcentral lists this ribosomal RNA (483 nucleotides) under uncultured bacterium. RNAcentral describes it as "partial 16S ribosomal RNA". It matches the Rfam family "Bacterial small subunit ribosomal RNA", at positions 28 to 507 of the family's 1533-position model. The record is from RNAcentral.